GGACGGGUGAGUAACGCGUAGGAACUUGCCCACUAGAGGGGGAUACCAGUUGGAAACGGCUGUUAAUACCGCAUAUUGCCUUAGGGUGAAAGGUGGCUUCGGCUGUCGCUAGUGGAGAGGCCUGCGUUGGAUUAGCUUGUUGGUGAGGUAAAGGCUCACCAAGGCUACGAUCCAUAGCUGUUUUGAGAGGAAGAUCAGCCACACUGGGACUGAGACACGGCCCAGACUCC
Molecule: ribosomal RNA, 230 nt
Filed under: uncultured bacterium
Lineage: Bacteria
Description: partial 16S ribosomal RNA
Rfam family: Bacterial small subunit ribosomal RNA
Source: RNAcentral